Molecule: ribosomal RNA, 467 nt
Filed under: uncultured Peptostreptococcaceae bacterium
Lineage: Bacteria; Bacillati; Bacillota; Clostridia; Peptostreptococcales; Peptostreptococcaceae
Description: bacterial SSU rRNA
Rfam family: Bacterial small subunit ribosomal RNA
Source: RNAcentral
AGGCUUUGAUCCUGGCUCAGGAUGAACGCUGGCGGCGUGCCUAACACAUGCAAGUCGAGCGAUUCUCUUUUGAGAAGAGCGGCGGACGGGUGAGUAACGCGUGGGUAACCUGCCCUGUACACACGGAUAACAUACCGAAAGGUAUGCUAAUACGGGAUAACAUAUUUUAAUGGCAUCAUCGAAAUAUCAAAGCUCUAACAGUACAAAAUGAACCCACGUCUGAUUAGCUAGUUGGUGAGGUAAUGGCUCACCAAGGCGACGAUCAGUAGCCGACCUGAGAGGGUGAUCGGCCACAUUGGAACUGAGACACGGUCCAAACUCCUACGGGAGGCAGCAGUGGGGAAUAUUGCACAAUGGGCGAAAGCCUGAUGCAGCAACGCCGCGUGAGCGAUGAAGGCCUUCGGGUCGUAAAGCUCUGUCCUCAAGGAAGAUAAUGACGGUACUUGAGGAGGAAGCCCCGGCUACAA